RNAcentral lists this long non-coding RNA (1281 nucleotides) under Oryctolagus cuniculus (rabbit). RNAcentral's name for it is "lncRNA (ENSOCUG00000032624.1)". The record is from RNAcentral. Lineage: Eukaryota; Metazoa; Chordata; Mammalia; Lagomorpha; Leporidae.
AUGGACUUCUGUCAGUCUUCCCGACCCUGCCUCGGGCCUCGCCCCGCGCCUUCUCUACUCCAGGACAAGUCGGGCCUGGGUGUGGUGGCCAGGCCCUCGCCCCUGCACACACCUGGACCCGGGGCCACGUCAGUGCCUGGCACCACCCUGCCAGGAUCUACCGCGAAGCUGGGCACAGGGGCCCUGGCCCUCGGGGCCCGGACAGAGCUGGCCGCCUGCUCUCCAGCCAGCAGAGACGAGGGGAGACCGGGCAGGACGCGCCGCCCGCACCAGCAGCCUCCCCCCGGGCGCCCUCAGCACCGGUCGGCUCCGUCUCCCCACGCCUGGCUGGGCUGUGGGGCUGCCCAGCCUGGGGGCUGGUGGGCAGCUGCUACUCAGUGCCAAAUCCCGGGGGGCACGGAGCCACAUACCUCGCGUCCGCCCGCCGUCCCCACUUCAGGAAAAGCUGCACUUUACGUCCCUGUCACUGAGGGGUCCUCAGCAAGGAGACAGGUGGCUGACACCCCACCCCCACCCCCCGGGCGCCCUGCGCGCACCACUGAGGGCCGGACCCCAGCCUCUCCCCGACCCUGCAACUGCGUGGGCUCCGGGCCCUUCUCUUCCCCAGCCUCUCGUUCUGUUCAAGUUUCUGUUUACAGCUGGAGUGGGGCAGCCCCUCCCCUGUGUCCCCAGGAGUGGGGUCGGGCAGCCCCUCCCCUGUGUCCCCAGGAGUGGGGUCGGGCAGCUGCCCCUUCUCCCCACCAGGGACCACACUGUGAAGUGAAAACUGCCUUGACUCCCAUUGCUGUUUUAUUUAUUAAACUUGGUUUGACGCCCAGGGCUGCCAUGGUGGGCUCGGGGUCUCCGUGGGGGUCUCCGAGGGGGUCUCUGUGGGGGCCUCCCUGGGCGCGGCCAGGCACAGGCUCCAGCACGGAGCUGAGUGGGUGGAGUGUCGAGGGUUUCCACAACAUGCCAGGGAGGGCGGACGUGGGAUGCAGAGAGGGUCUCUGCCCCUUGGGGGCGCCGAUGGGUCAGCUGGAGCUUGCUGGGCCCCGGGCUGGGGGUGGAGGUGGAGGGCGUGGGGCAGUGGCGUGGGGCAUGAUCAGGUGGGAGCCCCUGCAGGCCUGUGUGGUGCUGCAGCUGGGGGGGGGGUGGAAGCCGAGAUUGGGGUCCACCUGCAGGCCUGUGGGGGGGAGCGAGAGCUCCCAGGGUCCAGGUCUGGUCGCGGGGGAGCUGGUGGUACCAGGAGCCAGGGCGGGGCAGAGGUUAGGAAGCAGCGCUGGGCUGUCGUGGGCACCCUGA